Molecule: long non-coding RNA, 213 nt
Filed under: Elaeis guineensis (African oil palm)
Lineage: Eukaryota; Viridiplantae; Streptophyta; Magnoliopsida; Arecales; Arecaceae
Description: long non-coding RNA (EGUI_LNC031483)
Source: RNAcentral
GGUGGUCCUAUUUUUCUGAACUUUUAGUAUCAGACAUUGUCACUUCACACGCAUUAGUAGAUCUCCUGCUCAUUAAUUCCAUACUUUAAUCUAUAGAGAAGUCUCCCAGUUUAGUGAGAGUGUCGAUGAGGUGUCACCUCUAUAAAAAUUUUAUGGGAUAAUAGAACUUACAUGAAGAUGAAAUCAUUGAAGCUGUCAAAGAUUUUUUCCCUC